This 1372-nucleotide ribosomal RNA is filed under the name uncultured bacterium. RNAcentral's name for it is "16S ribosomal RNA". It matches the Rfam family "Bacterial small subunit ribosomal RNA". The record is from RNAcentral.
AGAGUUUGAUCCUGGCUCAGGAUGAACGUUGGCGGUGUGCCUAAUACAUGCAAGUCGAACGGUGACUAUUUUGUAGCAAUACGAAUGAAAUCAUAGUGGCGAACGGGUGAGUAACGCGUUGGUGAUCUGCCUCGAAGUGUGGAAUAACUUCCCGAAAGGGUAGCUAAUACCGCAUACUCUCUCAAGGUUUAAAAAAUUGAGAGUAAAGGAUUUAUUCGCUUCGAGAGGAGCCUGCGUCCCAUCAGCUAGUUGGUAGGGUAAUAGCCUACCAAGGCAAUGACGGGUAGGGGACCUGAGAGGGUGGCCCCCCACAAUGGAACUGAAACACGGUCCAUACACCUACGGGUGGCAGCAGUAGGGAAUAUUAGAAAUGGGCGAAAGCCUGAUCUAGCAACACCGCGUGUGCGAUGAAGGCCUUCGGGUUGUAAAGCACUUUUUGGAGGGAAUAGGAAGGAAGGUACCUCCAGAAUAAGUCUCGGCUAACUACGUGCCAGCAGCCGCGGUAACACGUAGGAGGCAAACGUUAUCCGGAUUCACUGGGCGUAAAGCGCGUGUAGGUGGUUCUGUAAGUAGGGCGUGAAAGCUCCCGGCUCAACUGGGAGAGGCCGUACUAAACUGCAGAGCUAGAGGAUGGUAGAGGGAGGUGGAAUUCCAGGUGUAGUGGUGAAAUGCGCAGAUAUCUGGAGGAACACCAGUGGCGAAGGCGGCCUCCUGGACCAUUCCUGACACUCAGACGCGAAAGCUAGGGUAGCAAACGAAAGGAGAGACUCCGGUAGUCCUAGCCCUAAACGAUGCAGAAUAGGGGUCGGGCGGGUUAAUCACCCGUCGGUGUCCAAGUAAACGCGAUAAGUUUUGCCCCCUGAGGACUACGCCGCCAAGCUAAAAACUCAAGGGAAUGACGGGGUCCCCGCACAAGCAGCGGAGCGUGUGGUUUAAUUCGAUGCUCCGCGAAGAACCUUACCUGGGUUUGACAUAACAGUGGUAGAGAAGUGAAAACGGAUCGACCCUUCGGGGAGCUGUUACAGGUGUUGCACGCCUGUCGUCAGCUCGUGUCGUGAGAUGUUCGGUUAAGUCCGCUAACGAGCGCAACCCGCGCUGUGUGUUACAAGUGUCACACAGUACCGCCGGUAUUAAGUCGGAGGAAGGUGCGGAUGACGUCAAGUCAGCAUGACCUUUAUAUCCAGGGCUACACACACGCUACAAUGGUCAGAACAAUAGGUUGCCAAGCCGCAAGGCGGAGCCAAUCCUCCAAAUCUGGCCUCAGUUCAGAUUGCAGGCUGCAACUCGCCUGCAUGAAGUCGGAGUUGCUAGUAACCGCAGGUCAGCAUACUGCGGUGAAUACGUUCCCGGGGAUUGUACACACCGCCCGUCA